GUCUACUCUUACCCAGGUAGGUGAUGUCAGUCUACUCAGGGUCAGAGGUCAGAGUCUACUCUUACCCAGGUAGGUGAUGUCAGUCUACUCAGGGUCAGAGGUCAGAGUCUACUCUUACCCAGGUAGGUGAUGUCAGUCUACUCAGGGUCAGAGGUCAGAGUCUACUCUUACCCAGGUAGGUGAUGUCAGUCUACUCAGGGUCAGAGGUCAGAGUCUACUCUUACCCAGGUAGGUGAUGUCAGUCUACUCAGGGUCAGAGGUCAGAGUCUACUCUUACCCAGGUAGGUGAUGUCAG
Long non-coding RNA from Oncorhynchus keta (chum salmon), 295 nucleotides. RefSeq lists it as uncharacterized. NCBI's taxonomy places the organism in Eukaryota, Metazoa, Chordata, Actinopteri, Salmoniformes, Salmonidae. The transcript is spliced from 3 exons. The record is from RefSeq and is a predicted model, not a curated record.